Molecule: long non-coding RNA, 787 nt
Organism: Portunus trituberculatus (swimming crab)
Lineage: Eukaryota; Metazoa; Arthropoda; Malacostraca; Decapoda; Portunidae
Exons: 4
Source: RefSeq, a predicted model, not a curated record
GCGAAGGACGAUAACAUGAGUUUAACAGCGAAUAACGAGGAAAUUAAGCGACAGUAUUACGGUGUUAGCGAAUAAUAACGCUUAGUAGUGUGAAAAACGUGGAAUGAUCGAAGAAAUUGCAAUAAAGGCACAGCGGAAGUGAGAAAACAUGCCAUGAAGGUGACGAAAACCACAAAGAAUUCACAAAAGACAUAGUGUGAGUGAGAAAAUAAGAAAGAUAAAUAAAAGUUUGAUUUUUAGCGAGUAUUGCAGUCUUAUAGAUGAAACUACAAGAACUACAAGAACAGCAGCAACAGUAACAACAACAACAACAACAACAACAGUUUGGUGCCUCUGCCAUCUCGUUCCCGGCAAGGCAGACACCUGGAGAUAAUCCUUGUCACUGAUCUGAGCAUAAUUCGCGUUGGUAAUUAAUCUGGAGGUGUGAGUUGAAGGAGAAUGCCGCGGCCACACCUGCAAGAGUCCCGCGUCUUGUUACUUGAGCACGGCGACCACCAGCGGCCAGCGAGAAUAAUUAAUACCUGAGCCACCACACAGACAGGCUCAUUUCUCUCUCUUGUUUCGUGGUGGUGAUGAAGAGUCGGGUCGUCAGAGGGUCAUCAGAAGGGUCGUCAUCACCCCGUCAUCACCCCGUCAUCACCCAGUUAUCACCCCGGCUCAGGCCUGUCAUCACCUGCUCGCCACCUGCCGGUCACGAGCAGGCAGGUAAAGGUAAAGACCAGCUGGAUUGGCUCUUCAUCAUCACCCACGCUGUGUUUGCGCCUCUACCCGUGAUUGCUGUGCUCCC